GAAAGGCGGACGGCAGUAGCAGG
Molecule: non-coding RNA, 23 nt
Filed under: Cricetulus griseus (Chinese hamster)
Lineage: Eukaryota; Metazoa; Chordata; Mammalia; Rodentia; Cricetidae
Source: RNAcentral